Molecule: ribosomal RNA, 411 nt
Filed under: Actinomycetes bacterium
Lineage: Bacteria; Bacillati; Actinomycetota; Actinomycetes
Description: Actinobacteria bacterium partial 16S ribosomal RNA
Rfam family: Bacterial small subunit ribosomal RNA
Source: RNAcentral
UGGGGAAUAUUGCACAAUGGGCGCAAGCCUGCUGCAGCGACGCCGCGUGGGGGUUGACGGCCUUCGGGUUGUAAACUCCUUUCGCUAGGGACGAAGCUUUUUGUGACGGUACCUAGUUAAGAAGCACCGGCUAACUACGUGCCAGCACCCGCGGUAAUACGUAGGGUUCGAGCGUUGUCCGGAAUUACUGGGCGUAAAGGGCUCGUCGGUGGUUUGUCGCUUCGUCUGUGAAAUUCCGGGGCUUAACUCCGGGCGUGCAGGGGAUACGGGCAUAACUUGAGUACUGUAGGGGUAGCUGGAAUUCGUGGGGUAGCGGUGAAAUGCGCAGAUAUCAGGAGGAACACCGAUGGCGAAGGCAGGUUACUGGGCAGUUACUGACGCUGAGGAGCGAAAGCAUGGGUAGCGAACAGG